CCUGUGGGUGGGAGUUGACAGAAUAGAAGAUUACGUGGAAAAGUUGCUUCACAGCAUCUUUUUCUUAGGUCACAUUAAUGAUGUCCGUCUUCUUCCAACUGACUUCUUUGAGUCUCAAGAGGUGAUGGACUAUUUAGAAAAACGUUUUCCUAAGACAUUCGACAAUUACAUGUCUCCACCCUGUCAGACUCCAUUUUCCAUUAUUCUGACUUUGGCUGUCAGGAUUUGUGGUCAUGAGAACGAAGAUAAAAUACAAGAAAAUCUUCUAAGUUUCAUGGAAGCAUUGAAAUUGCCCCCCAAAAUAAAAGGCGAGAGUAACUACACCAACUACUACACUCUGGAGGCUACUGUCAUAGCUGUGUGCUACAACGAAACCCCUGGAGCCCUCAGACCAGUGAAGUACUAUGGAGCAUCCCUGUCCUGCAGAGGGGAGAGAGCAAGGAGAAUUAUGAUCAAUCAGUCAUGUCUAAACGUGUGGCAUAACUAUGUGUCUUAUGCAGUGUUGUCAUUCAGACAUGAACAGGGAAACGGUAUCAGCUUCCCUGGCACCGUAAAAUGUAGAGCAUUCUACAGGAAUCACAAGAACAAUUGUUAUGAAGCCCGAAGGCCGUGCAAGAACUGUGGGGAUCUUUUCUCUCUCUCAAACCCUGAGACGGACAGAAAUGACUUUCCCUACGGAAAAUGUGCCGAAACGGAGUGCCUGAGUAAACUAAUUUUAAAAGAUAAGGAUGUCAGGAGAAAAAUGAUUUUGGGAAUCUACUACACAAGGGAAAACCUGAGAGGUCUUAGAAAAAUGGCAGAAAUAGCUUUGGGACAGAGUCUUAUGGCAUAAGUCUACUUAGCACCUCUGAACAGUGUGCAUUUGGCCGUCAUUUUCAAACCAACUGCAAACUGUGACUGUGUAAACUUCUAUUAUGUGAUCAGGAUGUCUGCAGCAAUAUGAGUUUUGUACACUACACAAGAGAAAAUGUCUUAGAAAAAUGACAGAAAAUGCUUUUGAACAUUUAGGUUUUGUUUCACACAGGAUUUAUACAUGGUGUUUUUGCUGUGUUUGACUUGGAAGUUUCCUCUGAAACUACAAGAACAAUGGUGUUCUUUAAUCACUCAACUGUGAUUAAGGCAACUGUGCCAUAGUCAUAAUGCACAAGUAAAUGGUUUCUGUCACUGAGAGUUGUGAAUUACAGCUCGGAUAAACAAUACAAUUAUUACCACUAAUAAAUAAC
Molecule: long non-coding RNA, 1223 nt
Organism: Oncorhynchus gorbuscha (pink salmon)
Lineage: Eukaryota; Metazoa; Chordata; Actinopteri; Salmoniformes; Salmonidae
Exons: 3
Source: RefSeq, a predicted model, not a curated record